Molecule: ribosomal RNA, 301 nt
Filed under: uncultured bacterium
Lineage: Bacteria
Description: partial 16S ribosomal RNA
Rfam family: Bacterial small subunit ribosomal RNA
Source: RNAcentral
CAGCCGCCGCGGUAAUACGAAGGGUGCAAGCGUUAAUCGGAAUUACUGGGCGUAAAGCGUGCGUAGGCGGUGAGUUAAGUCUGCUGUGAAAUCCCCGGGCUCAACCUGGGAAUGGCAGUGGAUACUGGCUCGCUAGAGUGUGUCAGAGGAUGGUGGAAUUCCCGGUGUAGCGGUGAAAUGCGUUGAGAUCGGAAGGAACAUCAGUGGCGAAGGCGGCCAUCUGGGACAACACUGACGCUGAGGCACGAAAGCGUGGGGAGCAAACAGGAUUAGAUACCCCAGUAGUCCCUGUCUCUUAUAC